Long non-coding RNA from Oryzias latipes (Japanese medaka), 339 nucleotides. RefSeq lists it as uncharacterized. The record is from RefSeq and is a predicted model, not a curated record. NCBI's taxonomy places the organism in Eukaryota, Metazoa, Chordata, Actinopteri, Beloniformes, Adrianichthyidae.
UGUUGGAAAUUUGUCUGGCCGAAGAUACAAAUCCAGAAGAUCAGCCGAGUUGUCUUGCAUAGAGCUGCAAUACCAGUUCAAGUGGAGAUGUUGAAGUGGACUCUGAUGACACCAUAAUAUUACAACACAGUCCUACAACAAGACGAAGACUUGAAGACACCUCUCUUGCCAAAGUGGUUGCUGUCAUUGGUGAGGAUGCAUCAUCCGUUGAAGGUCAUGUGAAUGUCCUGCAUAUCCAGUACAGCAAAGUGCGAGAGGAUAUACUAAAGAAUUACCCUUUCUUGAAGACAGCCUCAGGGUUGUUUGAUGUUGACCGAAUGCAUCCAUCACCUGUCAGUU